UUGAAAGGGAAACGAUUGAAGUCAGUCAUACCAACGGGAAAUCAACCUCUUGAGCUCGGUCUCGUGGGUUUUGAAGAGUUUCAAAGCCUUCGGAUUCGCGGGAUUGGGAUCUCCUGGCGUACUUUUUCGUACGGUUAGUCAACAUCGGUUUUGUAUGUCAUAAAAUGACUGGAGGAAUGUAGCUUCGAUCUCGUAUUGAAGUGUUAUAGCCUUUGGUAGAUGUGAUGUUUGAGACCGAGGAUUGCAACGGAUACCCUUCAGGGCUAUUCGUCUGAUCUCUGAUACGUUGCCUUGAUGUUGAAAGCUCGCUUAUGAUGUUAGGGUAUUACGGUCAAAAGGUUAGAGCGAAUUACAUUCGUUAAGGAUGUUGACGUA
RNAcentral lists this ribosomal RNA (375 nucleotides) under uncultured Glomeromycotina. Its description in RNAcentral is "LSU rRNA". The record is from RNAcentral. Lineage: Eukaryota; Fungi; Glomeromycota.